Molecule: non-coding RNA, 39 nt
Filed under: unclassified sequences
Source: RNAcentral
CUCUGGGCCGGCGCUUCAUGGGCCCAGGGCGUGAAAGAG